UCUUUUCUUUUUCUCCAAAAUAUCUUACCACUCCUUUCAGCACGAAACAUGCGUACGCCUCUUUCCUAUCGCCACCAAAAACGUUGUGGCGUCUGCUAAACGCCAUCUUGUCUCAGAGUUUGAAAAUCUCGUGUGUAAUUGUUUAUUGUGCAUGUCAAGUUCCGCCUUUAUUUUCUUUAUCUAACAUCAUCAUCUUGCCAAUCCAUCUGUGAUAUAACAACAGUCUCGAAUCGAGUGGAAGAAAAAUCCUGCAAUCAAGAUUGUUCGAGAAAUGCGACAUCGUCAGCUGAUUCGUAAACAAAGAUUGUAAAACAAUGCAGCCAUUUACCUGGAUGCUGGCAGCAAUUUCAGCUCCAAAUCCGGACGUCAAUGGCGCUUCAUGCGCUAUCAGCAACCGUCCCGUUUUCUUCACCGACUUGAGACAUUUAGAAAGUGAGAUGAAUAAACAAAAAAAUUGAAAUGCCCUCCAAUUUACAGACCUGAUCAAAUGCUGGAAGGAUGUAAUCUGCAAACUGAAUUUCUGCUAUGGCUGUAGCUCCUGCGGUGGCAGCUCCUAUACCAAAACCAGCGAUUCCUUGUUCACACAAAGGAGUGUUGA
This is a long non-coding RNA of Daphnia magna, 598 nucleotides long. RefSeq lists it as uncharacterized. The transcript is spliced from 3 exons. The record is from RefSeq and is a predicted model, not a curated record. NCBI's taxonomy places the organism in Eukaryota, Metazoa, Arthropoda, Branchiopoda, Diplostraca, Daphniidae.